UAUGCCUGCAUGUGUUCCUGCACUUACCAAUAAAUAACCAAACACGAAUCAACUCAUAGAUUUUGACUCUGAUCAGUGAGCCAGACCACCGGUGGAAAUGUCUGUGAAGAUCCUCUCCAUCACUCUCCUCCUGGUCUCAAUGUGUGUGUGCUGCCACUCCUCUGAAGCUUUUAUCUCUCAGAUACUCAUCGUCAUCAUCCUGGACCGGUACCACCAUGCUGCACUGCAGUCACCAAAGGCAAUAUGACUGCUGACGUGGUGGGGCAAAUAUAUCAUGAACUGGCUGCAAGAGGACACUGUGUGAAGGCUAUAAUUUUUUACACAAAAGAUGGAAAACUUUGUGCUGAUCCAGACGCUCAGUGGGUCAAAGAUCUCAUUGCCAAAAUGAAGAAGGAGUGAAGCCUGUCUGCUGCAUCAGUAUUUCCAGUAUUUCCAUCACCUUUAAAGGCUUAUUCAAACCAGAGCGCUUUCUCAGCCUGUCUUGAAACUUUUUUUUUUUUUUUUGCAUUUGUAGAUU
Oreochromis aureus is the source of this 517-nucleotide RNA transcript. It is a transcript of the gene named eotaxin-like, with no coding region annotated. NCBI's taxonomy places the organism in Eukaryota, Metazoa, Chordata, Actinopteri, Cichliformes, Cichlidae. The record is from RefSeq and is a predicted model, not a curated record. The transcript is spliced from 4 exons.